GCGACCCCAGGUCAAGCGGGGGUA
Molecule: ribosomal RNA, 24 nt
Filed under: Corymbia collina
Lineage: Eukaryota; Viridiplantae; Streptophyta; Magnoliopsida; Myrtales; Myrtaceae
Description: partial 26S ribosomal RNA
Source: RNAcentral